This 468-nucleotide ribosomal RNA is filed under the name uncultured bacterium. RNAcentral's name for it is "partial 16S ribosomal RNA". It matches the Rfam family "Bacterial small subunit ribosomal RNA", at positions 28 to 507 of the family's 1533-position model. The record is from RNAcentral.
GACGAACGCUGGCGGCGUGCUUAACACAUGCAAGUCGAACGGAAAGACCCGGCGUUUGUGGGGUGCUCGAGUGGCGAACGGGUGAGUAACACGGGAGUAACCUGCACUUGACUGUGUGAUAACUUCAGGAAACUGGGGCUAAUACCGGGGAGGAGAUCCUGCUGCAUGUGGUGGGAUGGAAAGUGUCGGCGGUGGUGUAUAGAAUAGAGGCUUAUCAGCUGGUUGGUGGGGUAGUUGAGUACCAAGGCUUUGACGGGUAGCCUGCCUGAGAGAGUGAACGGCCACCUUGCGCCUGCGAGACGGCGCAGACUGCUACCGGAGGCAGCAGUCGGGAGUCUUGCACAAUGGCGGGACGCGUGAUGCAGAAACGCUCCGUGCGGGAUGCCGGCUUUCGGGUUGUAAACAGCUUUCGAAUGUGAUGAAGACUGCGUGACGGUACUGGGUAAAGAAGCACCGGCUAACUACGUG